Molecule: ribosomal RNA, 492 nt
Filed under: uncultured bacterium
Lineage: Bacteria
Description: bacterial SSU rRNA
Rfam family: Bacterial small subunit ribosomal RNA
Source: RNAcentral
GAUGAACGCUAGCUACAGGCUUAACACAUGCAAGUCGAGGGGCAGCGGGAUUGAAGCUUGCUUCAAUCGCCGGCGACCGGCGCACGGGUGAGUAACGCGUAUCCAACCUUCCGUUUACUCAGGGAUAGCCUUUCGAAAGAAAGAUUAAUACCUGAUGGUAUCUUAAUGACACAUGUAAUUAAGAUUAAAGAUUUAUCGGUAAACGAUGGGGAUGCGUUCCAUUAGGUAGUAGGCGGGGUAACGGCCCACCUAGCCAACGAUGGAUAGGGGUUCUGAGAGGAAGGUCCCCCACAUUGGAACUGAGACACGGUCCAAACUCCUACGGGAGGCAGCAGUGAGGAAUAUUGGUCAAUGGGCGAGAGCCUGAACCAGGCCCAAGUAGCGUGAAGGAUGAAGGUUCUAUGGAUUGUAAACUUCUUUUAUAAGGGAAUAACAGACGUUACGUGUAGCGUUUUGCAUGUACCUUAUGAAUAAGCAUCGGCUAACUCCGUG